AGAGUUUGAUCAUGGCUCAGAUUGAACGCUGGCGGCGUGCCUAACACAUGCAAGUCGAGCGGUAACAGGUGUAGCAAUACAUGCUGACGAGCGGCGAACGGGUGAGUAAUGCUUUGGAAUCUUCCCAGUAGUGGGGAAUAACCAGUCGAAAGAUUGGCUAAUACCGCAUACGUCUGUAAAGGGAAAGCGGGGGCUCGUAAGACCUCGCGCUAUUGGAUGAGCCAAAGUCGGAUUAGCUAGUUGGUGGGGUAAUGGCCUACCAAGGCGACAAUCCGUAGCUGGUCUGAGAGGACGACCAGCCACACCGGAACUGAGACACGGUCCGGACUCCUACGGGAGGCAGCAGUGGGGAAUAUUGGACAAUGGGGGAAACCCUGAUCCAGCGACGCCGCGUGUGUGAAGAAGGCCUGCGGGUUGUAAAGCACUUUUAGUGGGGACAAAAAGCUACGGAUUAAUACUCUGUGGUCUUGAUUUAACCUACAGAAAAAGCACCGGCUAACUCUGUGCCAGCAGCCGCGGUAAUACAGAGGGUGCGAGCGUUAAUCGGAAUUACUGGGCGUAAAGCGCGCGUAGACGGUUUUGUAAGUCAGAUGUGAAAUCCCUGGGCUCAACCUGGGAACUGCAUUUGAGACUGCAUGGCUAGAGUAUCGAAGAGGGAAGUGGAAUUUCCGGUGUAGCGGUGAAAUGCGUAGAUAUCGGAAGGAACACCAGUGGCGAAAGCGACUUCCUGGUCGAAUACUGACGUUCAUGUGCGAAAGCGUGGGGAGCAAACAGGAUUAGAUACCCCUGUAGUCC
This 795-nucleotide ribosomal RNA is filed under the name uncultured bacterium. RNAcentral's name for it is "bacterial SSU rRNA". It matches the Rfam family "Bacterial small subunit ribosomal RNA", at positions 8 to 796 of the family's 1533-position model. The record is from RNAcentral.